CAAGUGGCCACACCUGCAGCAUAUGGAAGUUCCCAAGCCAGGGAUCGAGCUACAGCCACUGUAGAAGCAACAGCAAGUAGCUAUGAGGUGAGCCACAAGGGAAGUCCUAAAUUACUUACUAACUUCUUUCUAUUCCUACAAAAUGUAAGCCCGUGGAGGGCAGGGAUUUUUGUUAUUUUAACCACUGCUGUGUUGCCUGUAGCUAUGUGGCAUAAAGUAGGCACUCAUUAAUAGCAGCCAAAUAAAUUAAAGGAAAAGCAAAAGAGAAAGGGAGGGAGGCAGGGGAGGAAAGAAGGGAAGGUGGAAGAGACGGAAAAAAGAAAGGUGAGAGGGAGGAAAGGACGAAGGAGAGGAAGUCAGCCAGUGCAGCGGAAGCACAGUGGACAGGGACCUGGACUGUGCGGGCCUUGUAGAUCACGGAACAGAAGCUGGAAUUGUGUUUAGAAGACAGAAUGCUUUGAAGGGUUACAAGGCAGGGAAGCCACAUGACCGAAUUUGUAGUUUAAAGAGCUGACUGGGGGGGGCCAUGUGGAAAACAGGUUAGAGAGAAGGAAGCAGGGACACUAGGUAAGGAGCUGAGGAAGCUAGAGAUGAGGGAACAGAGGCAAGGCAAUGAGAGAGAGAGAGAGAGAGAGAGAGAGAGAGAGAGAGAGAGAGAGAGAGGCAGAUGCAAGGAGGAAUCAAUCAAUAACUCAAUCAAUGUAUUGCUUCUCAGCUCCAGAUUUUCCCUUCAUUGUCUGCUCUGUGCAAAUGAAGAUGGACCCUUUAAAUAUUUUUUCCUUUGCCAGAUGCUGUGAUGUUAAGCUUUGCCUGCAGAGGCACUGGAAAGGCACCGCAUGAGGAUCAGGCUCUUCUUCCUGGUUCCACUGUGCUCCUCUUGGCAGGAUAAACAGAGUAUCAAGGAUAAACACAAUAUCAGCAUUUCUGGUGUCCUACAGAGGCCUGGCCACCUUCUUUAAGAUCUUUUCUAAUUUGAGACAACUGGAAAGAUAGCUGGUCUCAGCUUGUAAAAGCUAUAAGCUUUCAUGUUUUCGUAAUUAUUUUUCUUACAUAUAAAAGGAUUUGGGCACUUUGUUGUUCAUCCUCAUUCAAAUGCUAAUACCACAGUGCUCUGAGUAUGAUAAUUUUAGAAUCUGUUUUACUACACUGUAAAGCAAGGACCACCUCACUAUUCUCUGUCUAAGUUUUCUUGGCUAGUCUAAAAAAUUUAUUCUUCCAUAUGAACACACAUCAUUUAACCUAAUUCCCCACCCACCCCUAAAAGAAUUCCCCCUUGGAGUUGUAAUUAAUUUCCAUUAAAUUUAUAUAUAUUUAGUCUUCCCAUUCAGGAACAUGGUUUGUAUUUCCAUUUUUUUCUCGAUCAUCCUUAAUAGUUUACAAUUUUCUUCAUACAGAUCCUGUGCCUUCCUUGUGAUACUUAUCAUUAAGUAUUUUACAAUCUUUUAACACUAUUUUUUUUAUAUGAAGUAUUUUUCUCCUCACCAAAGCAGUUCAUCCCAUGCUUCCCCGGCCAACAUCCCAAUGACACCCAAGAACCUUUUAGUUCCCACUCACCCCCACACCACCCCAUGUCAUGAGGUCCGAGUUUUGCUGGAAUCACUUAGAGUAUUUCACUCAGACGACAAGGUUUCCUCUUGCAAUAUGUCUCUUCUAUUUCAAGGACCCUUACUUAGCAUUUAUAUUACACUUCCUUGUCACUUUCAAUAUGCCACAUACCAUACGUAAUAUAAUGAAUGGUAUAGAAUACAUAUAUUUCAAAAUGCAUUGUCCAGCACUGUUCUGUCUCCUCCUCCCGCCGUGGGAGGAAUGUUUGAUUAGAGUAUUUUGCUCAAAUUGGAGUCUAUGGGUGAUAUAAUCUGAAUCCUUGCACACCCACAUAGAGCUUUCUUUUCCCUUAAAGGUGAAUAAUACCCAAAUUGCAUAUAAGAUCCUUGGAGUGCAGUCAUUUUUCUCUAGUCUGCUUCUUACACCAUCACUAUAGUGUUGCAAAUGAGAAGAGUCUGUUUUGUCAUUAUAGUUUUAACUUUUUCUUUUGUAUCUUUAUCCUCUUUUGAAUCUAACUUUUCCUUUUCUUUUGCAUCUUUUUUUUUUUUCCCUGUCUUUUUAGGGCCACACCCACGGCAUAUGGAAGUUACCACACUAGGGGUCGAAUCAGAGCAUAGCUGUCAGCCUACACUACAGCCACCACAGCACCACAAGAUCCGACCCCUGUCUGCGACCUACACCACAGCUCGCGGAAACGCCGGAUCCUUAACCCACUGAGUGAGGCCAGGGAUAGAAUUCAUGUCCUCAGGGACACUAGUCAGGUUUGUCACCACUGAGCCACAAUGGGAAAUCCUCUUUACAUCUUUAUCUUUCUAUCAAGGAGCUUGUGGGAUUUUUUUUCCUUUAUCACUGAAUUCAGGAAUUUUAUCAGAACAUGCCUAGCUUUGUGACUUUUCUCAUCAAUUUUGUCUGGAACCCAGUGAACUCAUUCAAUCUUCAAUUUUUGUUCGACUCAGGGAAAUUUUUUCUAUUACUUAUUUCUCCUUCUAAAAUUAUUAUUAUUUGCAUUUUUGGUUUCCUGGAUCUAUCCUGCAAGCCCAACUUUCAUGAGUUUCCAUUCCAACUCUUGGUAUUUUUGUUCUAAGCUUUGAAACUGUUAUUUUACUUGAACUGAGUUUAAAAAAAGAGAGGACAGAAGAGAUGUGCUCAAGCUGCCAUUUUCCCAGAAUCAUUUCAUAGAGGGAUGUUUAAAGGCUAUCUUAUCACUCAAAUAGGAGGGGAAAAUGUCUUUAAGUGCUCAAGAGAUAAUUACUUAAAAAUUAAUAUUUAAAAAUUAAAUUUAAAACCCAAAUAGCUAUUUGUUAGAAAUUACUGGAUUGAAAGCUCCUUGAAAGCAGAAAUCUGCCUUCUAUGCAUCUCUCACCCUCUCAACAGAUCUCGUUAAUAAAUGUGCUCAAUACAUCUUUAUUGAUAUAUUGAUAUACUGAGCAUCUUACAUGUUCCAAAAGGUUGAAACCUUGUCCCUAUACCCAGAAAAUCUAAAGUCUAACAAGGAGGCAAAAUAACUUAAAUGAAACAAAGAAAUAGCCAAUCAGUUAAGUCUUAAUGGUUACUGAAUACAAUAGCCUAAAAAUAGAAGAGAUUAAUAAGGACUAAAGUAGUCAGCUGGUUUCAUGACAAAAAGGACAUCAACCAGGGCACGAAACAGGGGUAAAUUUCAGUAGGAGAAAAGAAAAUAAUCACUGCAAAGGCACAGAGAUGGGAAUGAGCAAGUCAGGGAAAAGGGUGAGGAAACCAGUCUGUGAAGAAGAGUCUGUCAGCUUACUAGUACGGAAGAAUAUAGACAGGGCAGUUGAUGGUGGAGUUCAGAUUCAUUCACUUGUCAAAUAAGUACGGAAAAGCACUUAUGCUGAAGGAUGCUGCAUGCCAGCCUCAAGCAGCUUAAAAAAAUACUAAAAAAAAAAAAAAUAAAAAAAAAUAAUAAAGCAGCUUACAAAGAGAUAAGGAUACUUAUGCAAAUGAUCAUUUUAUAACCUUAAGAUCAUUGGAAAAAUAGCUAUAAUAUAGGAGUUACAUUAGAGACUAGAGCUCAGAGAACCGACAAAUGAGGAAGCUGUCUUUUUUAAAACAGGAAAUGCAUCUUCCAGGACUUCCCUUUGUCUCCUUGAAGAAAAAAGUAAGCAAAGAACCAUGGGAAGAAAACUCAUAUCAAUGCUUUUGCUAACAUGUUCAAUUCAAAAAUGAAAGUUUGGGAUUUCCCGUCAUGGCAAUGUCACAACGGAAACGAAUCCAACUAGUAUCCAUGAGGAUUCGGAUUCGAUCCCUGGCUUCACUCAGUCGGUUGGAGAUCCAGCAUUGCUGUGAGCUGUAGUGUAGGUUGCAAACUCAGCUUGUGUUGCUGUGGCUGUGGUGUAGGCCGGCAGCUCUGAUUCAACCCCUAGCCUGGGCACUUCCAUACGCUGAGAUGUAGCCGUAAAAAGACGUGACUAAAGAAAGAAAGAUUGAUUCUCCAAAUAAGAAAGGAAAUCCAAUAAACUAAGAAUGACAACUCUUUACAAUUUUAAGAAAAAAAAAAAAAACUGUAACUAUGUAUGGUGAUGAAUGUUAAUGAAAUUUAUUGAGGUGAUAAUUUCCCAAUGUACAGAAAUAUCAAGUGAUUAUGUUGUAUACCUGAAACUAACGAAAUGCUGUAUGUCAAGUACACCUCAAUCAAAAAAAGGAAAAAAAACUGAAAACAGCCUUCUUGCUUCUGUCACAGAUUUCUUAAACAAGAAAUUAUCAGGGGAGUUCCCGUCUUAGAGCAGUGGUUAACGAAUCUGACUAGGAACCAUAAGGUUGCGGGUUCGGUCCCUGCCCUUGCUCAGUGGGUUAACGAUCCGGCAUUGCCCUGAGCUGUUGUGGUGUAGGUUGCAGACUCGGCUUGGAUCCCGCGUUGCUGUGGCUCUGGCGUAGGCCAGUGGCUAUAGCUCCGAUUGGACCCCUAGCCUGGGAACCUCCAUAUGCCGAGGGAGCGGCCCAAGAAAUAGCAAAAAGCCAAAAAAAAAAAAAAAAAAAAA
Molecule: long non-coding RNA, 4541 nt
Filed under: Sus scrofa (pig)
Lineage: Eukaryota; Metazoa; Chordata; Mammalia; Artiodactyla; Suidae
Description: lncRNA (ENSSSCG00030057042.1)
Source: RNAcentral